UGCGACAUAGUAUAAAGGUAAUACGCUUGACCGAUAAUCGAGUAAUAUGAGUUCAAGUCUCUUUGUCGCAACCA
RNAcentral lists this transfer RNA (74 nucleotides) under [Clostridium] innocuum. RNAcentral's name for it is "tRNA_Ile_GAT". It matches the Rfam family "tRNA". Rfam says of the family: Transfer RNA (tRNA) molecules are approximately 80 nucleotides in length. Their secondary structure includes four short double-helical elements and three loops (D, anti-codon, and T loops). The record is from RNAcentral. Lineage: Bacteria; Bacillati; Bacillota; Clostridia; Eubacteriales; Clostridiaceae.